Molecule: ribosomal RNA, 448 nt
Filed under: uncultured bacterium
Lineage: Bacteria
Description: bacterial SSU rRNA
Rfam family: Bacterial small subunit ribosomal RNA
Source: RNAcentral
UCCAGACUCCUACGGGAGGCAGCAGUGGGGAAUAUUGCGCAAUGGAGGGAACCCUGACGCAGCAACGCCGCGUGCAGGAAGAAGGUCUUCGGAUUGUAAACUGUUGUCGCAGGGGAAGAAGACAGUGACGGUACCCUGUGAGAAAGUCACGGCUAACUACGUGCCAGCAGCCGCGGUAAUACGUAGGUGACAAGCGUUGUCCGGAUUUAUUGGGUUUAAAGGGUGCGUAGGCGGUCGGAUAAGUUAGAGGUGAAAUCCCGAGGCUCAACUUCGGAAUUGCCUCUGAUACUGUUCGGCUAGAGAGUAGUUGCGGUAGGCGGAAUGUAUGGUGUAGCGGUGAAAUGCUUAGAGAUCAUACAGAACACCGAUUGCGAAGGCAGCUUACCAAGCUACUUCUGACGUUGAGGCACGAAAGCGUGGGGAGCAAACAGGAUUAGAUACCCUAGUA